Molecule: long non-coding RNA, 1180 nt
Organism: Calliphora vicina (urban bluebottle blowfly)
Lineage: Eukaryota; Metazoa; Arthropoda; Insecta; Diptera; Calliphoridae
Exons: 3
Source: RefSeq, a predicted model, not a curated record
UGAACGGACGUGGAGGUCGCUGCGGUUUCAAAAAUAUAAUGAUUGAUUCGUUAUGUGGUACGUAUUCAAACUACUAAAAAAAACAUUUUAAUGUCAACAUCGAAGGUACAUCGUACAUCAUUCUACAAAUAUAAGAUGACGGAACGAGAUUACGAUGGACUGUAUGAAGUUAAAUACAACAUUCCCCUUGAAUAAGUAUUACAAGAGAGGCUAUUUAAUAUCCAAACAUCCCCAUCGAUAUUUCAUUAAAAUAUUGGAAAAAAACUAUUGAAAAUCACUUUUUCUUAGAAACAGCUACAAUACAUUUAACAACAGCACCAAAAAUGCUAUCAAGAUAUUGUCAAUCUCUUUCAGGCUACAAAAAUUACAUUUAGCAUCUCGGAUUUCUAAUUGGGCUAUUGUUUUUCAUUUUAGUGGGAUAUUGUUACAUGUGUUGCUGUUACUACAUGUUUCUCAUACAGCUUGUGAUACCAUCUCAUGGAUUUGAGAAGUAUUCCAAGUUGUUACAUUCUGAUUGGGCGCCAUUUAUGUUACGGUCUGCUUGGGCCUAACGAGUUUUCCGACUAGCUCCCGACUCUCAGGAGGUCCCAACCCUGUCGUUAGGUUGUCAACUAUAACACAAAAAGAAGUACAUUCUACAAAACCUACACAAAACACAACGAUACCACACACGAAUCUCGAGACUGCUGUUUGUCCCGAUGUCAGCCCUCCCAACCUUGUCGUAGAAACUUCCGGAGCAUUUAAAUCUACGACCCAAUAUCCACACGACCGAACUCUUCCACUUACCAGUUCAUCACUGCCAUAACCUUCAACAAAUUAUUCCAACAUGGGCUCAAGCUACUAUUUCUCUAAUACCGAGAAUGUAAAUACUUUUGAAUUUUAUCACCUAAAGGAGCUCCCUGAGGCUAUAACUUUUUCCUGUCACUCUACAGGCGUGUAAAACAAUAAUCUUUUUCUUUUUCGCUUAAGCUCUUUUUAAGAAUUCUGUUUUCUUUUACCUUUGGAUUUUCAUAAUUUCCACAAGAUGUAUAUAUAUGUAUUUUCUCUUUUACUAUAUUAUUUUUCUUUUUCGGCUAUUUCGAGGGAAUACUGUACUUAAACAAAACACAUACAUCUAACUACACACUCUCGAAAUUAACACAUUAUUAUUCACAAACACACAACUUAAACUAACUUAUCU